Molecule: ribosomal RNA, 465 nt
Filed under: uncultured bacterium
Lineage: Bacteria
Description: partial 16S ribosomal RNA
Rfam family: Bacterial small subunit ribosomal RNA
Source: RNAcentral
CCUACGAGAGGCAGCAGUAGGGAAUAUUCCACAAUGGGCGAAAGCCUGAUGGAGCAACGCAGCGUGCGUGAAGAAGGUCUUCGGAUCGUAAAGCGCUGUUGUUAGAGAAGAAAGUGCGUGAGAGUAACUGUUCACGGAUCGACGGUAUCUAGCCAGAAAGCGACGGCUAACUACGUGCCAGCAGCCGCGGUAAUACGUAGGUGGCAAGCGUUAUCCGGAUUUAUUGGGCGGAAAGGGAACGGAGGCGGUCUUGUAAGUCUGAUGUUAAAGUCUCGGGCUUAACCCGCGUAGUGCAUUGGAUACUGGCAGACUUGAGUUAAGUAGAGGUGAGUGGAAUUCCAUGUGGAGCGGUGAAAUGCGUAGAUAUAUGGAAGAACACCAGUGGCGAAGGCGGCUCUCUGGUCUUUUACUGACGCUGAGGUUCGAAAGCGUGGGUAGCAAACAGGAUUAGAUACCCCAGUAGUC